Molecule: long non-coding RNA, 486 nt
Organism: Erinaceus europaeus (western European hedgehog)
Lineage: Eukaryota; Metazoa; Chordata; Mammalia; Eulipotyphla; Erinaceidae
Exons: 3
Source: RefSeq, a predicted model, not a curated record
AAUCCCAGCUAAAGACAUGAACCCACUCAAAUGUCUAUGCCCCUAAGUAUCUUAAUUAACAAACAAACAACAACAAAAAAGUAUGUUCUCAUCAGUACAGAGAUGAGACUUGCGGCCCUUGCACAGCUGGUUAUGGAAAGAACACAUUCUCCGUAAUUUCCGAAGAAUCCAUGUCCUGUCUCUUGGAAAGUCAGAGGUUCUAUCAAGAAAUGGAAUUUCAUCUCUUCUGCAAAACCACUGGUUCUAUCAAGAAAUGGAAUUUCAUCUCUUCUGCAAAACCACUGGUGAAUGUACUGUACAUCUCACCGUGGAUAUUCAUUCCUAGGAAAUCCCACAAGACUGUAUCCAGAGACUUCACGUGUGGAAUGACAACCCUUCAGCUUCAUUACUCGGGUGAGACCUUUCCUUUUAUAGUACACUCUAAUCUCAUCUCAGGUAGUUCACUUUCUAACAAAGUCCCAUAACCUAGAUAUACACCAGUUUCUG